This is a long non-coding RNA of Solanum tuberosum (potato), 980 nucleotides long. RefSeq lists it as uncharacterized. The transcript is spliced from 4 exons. Lineage: Eukaryota; Viridiplantae; Streptophyta; Magnoliopsida; Solanales; Solanaceae. The record is from RefSeq and is a predicted model, not a curated record.
GCUCAAAUGCUUAGAUUGUUGCCUGAUUCAUCAAUCAUUCAACUAUGCAUCAAAUUUAAAUUAGUUGGGUUGGCUAUGUGAAUCCUUUAUGUCCUCUGCCUGGAUCUAUUUCCUUCCAGUAUUGACAAAUAAUUGCUUGUAAGGCACAUAAAAAUUCCUUCAGAACAAGAAAUUAUCUAAACCUAACUCUUUUUUCUACCCUUACAUAUGAGUAUCCAUCUAGACAAAAAGACUUCUACCAAAGAUGAGAUCUUAUGCAAGUUACACCUGCAACAAAACUUCAAUCGUAACCUGUUGGUACAUAUAGGUCCUUUGCUUCUAUUGUAUUCUUUACUUUGUUAAGCAUGCACCUAUUUUGAGAUUUUAAGUUAUUUGAGACAAUUUUCCUUCAUGUGGUUUUAGGUCUACAUCGUUCCUUUUUUUAAUCAUCAUAAAAGUAUCCCACCUACAAGCAUGGUGCAUUUAGAGGUCUAUGUAGGAUAUAGCCAAACCAUCUUAGUUUACCUUUUCUCAUAUCUUCUAUGUGUUUUAUUUAAAGCCUCUGUGAUUAUUUCUAAUAUUGUCUAAUUCUUUAUGAUCGUGUAGCCAUCACUCAAGACUAGUGGAGUGAUGGUGGCAUUACAAAUUUUUGAAAUGUGUUAUGUAGUCUCUUUUUAUACAAGUCCAGAUUAAAGAUCUGUUGAUAUAUGGUUCCUGUUUAUCUUUGGAAGUACAGCUGAGGGGCUAGCCUUUGGUAAUAGUGUCUAUUGGAUACGUUUUGAUGAAGAGUUUUCAGAGAAGAAAUUUAAAUCUUCAAAUCCUUUUGGCAUCAAAUACAAGUUCCAUCUGGAGGAUGCUGUUGAUUGUCCUGAGUGGAUUGUUCCUUUCCCCGUCUUCAAGGCAAUGGCUGAAGAGUAUGACUUCGAGCUAGUUUUUGUGAAGAACAACCAUGAGUUUGUGGAUGAGUACAUGAAGAAACCAGAGUUCAUUGAGCUAAUGAG